Molecule: ribosomal RNA, 240 nt
Filed under: uncultured bacterium
Lineage: Bacteria
Description: partial 16S ribosomal RNA
Rfam family: Bacterial small subunit ribosomal RNA
Source: RNAcentral
AGUGGCGGACGGGUGAGUAACGCGUGGGUAACCUGCCUCAUACAGGGGGAUAACAGUUAGAAAUGACUGCUAAUACCGCAUAAGACCACAGCACCGCAUGGUGCAGGGGUAAAAACUCCGGUGGUAUGGGAUGGACCCGCGUCUGAUUAGGUAGUUGGUGGGGUAACGGCCUACCAAGCCGACGAUCAGUAGCCGACCUGAGAGGGUGACCGGCCACAUUGGGACUGAGACACGGCCCAA